CCUACAUCCUCUGGCCGGAUCAGUUUCGCUGCUCACCAAUGCAGCGACCACAUAUACCUGUACAGUGACUUCCACACCUGUGAUUCUGUGUCCAUCAGCCAUCCUCUCGUCCCUACAGUUGCCUCCUCCACCUGUCGUCACCAUCUUAGUGUGAGGAUAAGUGAAAAUUUUUCCCCUCUAAUCUUAAUUCUGAAAGUUUUUAUAUCUUAUUCCCGCCAGCAAUGGUUUGUAGAAGAGAUAAGAGUCUAGUUCGUAAUCUCCCCGCACAGGAAUACAGAGAUAUUUGGACCUGAAGGAGUGUGUCGUUGGGUAAGGACUCGGGAGAUGGUAAGUGUGUGGAGAUGUGUGGGCGUGGUGUGGGUGGUGUGGGUUGCUACGUGUCGGGGGUUCUUGUGGGGCGAGAGUGAGGAGGUGGAUCUGUGUGCUGAGGUGUGUCAUUGUCCAGAACAUCUCACCCACAAACACAAGAUUCCCAUCAACUGUCGGGACGCUAACAUCACCCUCCUCCCAGAUGGCGUGAAGGUGCCUAAGCAGUAAUUUCAGCUGUGGAC
Molecule: long non-coding RNA, 551 nt
Organism: Homarus americanus (American lobster)
Lineage: Eukaryota; Metazoa; Arthropoda; Malacostraca; Decapoda; Nephropidae
Exons: 3
Source: RefSeq, a predicted model, not a curated record